CCUACGUGAUGCCGCAGUGGGGCAUAUUGGGCAAUGGAGGCAACUCUGCCCCAGCAAUGCCGCGUGAGUGAUGAAGGUAAUUUUAUUGUCAAGCUCUUUUCUUUGGAACGAAUAAAUGACGGUACCAAAGGAAUCAGCCCCGGCUAACUACGUGCCAGCAGCCGCGGUAAUACGUAGGGGGCCAGCGUUGUUCGGAAUGCCGGGGUGUAAAGGGUGUGUAGGUGGUUUGAUAAGUUAGAUGUGUAAUACGCAUGGCUUAACUCGGGUGCUGCAUCUAAAACUGUUAGACUUGAGUACUGGAGAGGAUAGUGGAAUUGCUAGGGUAGCGGUGAAAUGCGUAGAUAUUAGGAGGAACAUCAGUGGCGAAGGCGACUAUCUGGACAGCAACUGACACUGAGGCACGAAAGCGUGGGGAGCAAACAGGAUUAGAUACCCGGGUAGUC
Molecule: ribosomal RNA, 443 nt
Filed under: uncultured bacterium
Lineage: Bacteria
Description: partial 16S ribosomal RNA
Rfam family: Bacterial small subunit ribosomal RNA
Source: RNAcentral